GUUCAAUCCAGUCUUAAGGAUGAGUCGUUACUUGCUGAUGAAAGGCUUAAAGCUUUACAAGAGGAGGUACAUUUGCUUUGGGAUGUUUCGAGAAAGAACAACUUUGAACUUCACGUUUUGGAAUUGAAAGCGCAGGACGCUGAGGAAAGGCUCGAAGCUGUUACUUCGAAAGUUGAGAAG
Long non-coding RNA from Hibiscus syriacus, 180 nucleotides. RefSeq lists it as uncharacterized. NCBI's taxonomy places the organism in Eukaryota, Viridiplantae, Streptophyta, Magnoliopsida, Malvales, Malvaceae. The transcript has 3 exons. The record is from RefSeq and is a predicted model, not a curated record.